UGCUCUUCCCCAAUAUGGUAUGAGGUCUGUACUAUGCAAUCAAUAAUAUAAUUUCAGAUUUUCUGGGGUGCCUGGGUGGCUCAGUCAGUUAAGUGUCCGACUUUGGCUCAGAUCAUGAUCUCACGGUUCAUGGGUUCGAGCCCCGCGUC
Herpailurus yagouaroundi (jaguarundi) is the source of this 149-nucleotide long non-coding RNA. RefSeq lists it as uncharacterized. The record is from RefSeq and is a predicted model, not a curated record. NCBI's taxonomy places the organism in Eukaryota, Metazoa, Chordata, Mammalia, Carnivora, Felidae. The transcript has 3 exons.